Molecule: transfer-messenger RNA, 356 nt
Filed under: Rubrobacteraceae bacterium
Lineage: Bacteria; Bacillati; Actinomycetota; Rubrobacteria; Rubrobacterales; Rubrobacteraceae
Also listed under: 1 other name
Rfam family: transfer-messenger RNA
About the family: Bacterial tmRNA, also known as 10Sa RNA or SsrA, is named for its dual tRNA and mRNA-like properties. Its role is to liberate the mRNA from a stalled ribosome.
Source: RNAcentral
GGGGGCGUACAGGUUUCGACGUGAGCGGACUGCGUCCUGUGAGACGAGCCGAGUUUGCUGGAGACUCGUAAAACGCCGGCACGUAAACAUACACGCCACUGACGAAAUGGCUAUAGCUGCUUAAAUAAAAGCAGCUCAUCGGCCCGGGCAGCCUACGGCCCGGUUCCCGGUGUCAUCUUAGUAGGCUCGACCCGUUGGGCUCCUGCCCGGAGUUCAUCGGGGAAACACUAAAGGGCUAGUUCUGCGGCGGCGCCCCGGUCCGUCGCGGUAGACGAAACUAAACUGGGAGCUACGCUCGUAGAAUCUCACGGACGGCGCGCUCGCGGACGCGGGUUCGAUUCCCGCCGCCUCCACUU